AUUUAUUUUUUUCUUUUUUUUUGAGAUGGAGUCUCAUUUUGUCAACCAGGCUGGAGUGCAGUGGCAUGAUCUUGGCUCACUGCAACUUCCACCUCCUGGGUUCAAGAGAUUCUCCUGCCUCAGCCUCCUGAGUAGUAGGGACUACGGGCUUGCACCACCAUGCCCAGCUAAUGUUUGUAUUUUUAGUAGAGACGAGGUUUCAUCAUAUUGGCCAGGCUGGUCUUGAACUCCUGACCUCAAGUGAUUCGCCCGCCUCGGCCUCCCAAAGUGGUGGGUUACAGGCAUGAGCCACCGCAUCUGCCUAAGAAGGUGCUUUUGAGGUGACAACAAUGUUCUAAAUCUUAACUGGGAUUGUGGUUAUAUGGGUCUAUACACUUAUUGGACUACUGAACCAUACAUUGUAAAUGGUUAUACUGUAUUGUAUGUAAGUUACACGAGAAUAAAGAUGAUUUAGAGAGUUAGAAACAAAACAAGAAUGAAGAAUGAUGCUUGUUUUGCUCACCAUCUAGCAGAAAAGCCAGACAUACAAACAAAUAGUCAUAAAGCAGUGGGAUGAGUGUUCAAAGUAUGUU
This 572-nucleotide small RNA is filed under the name Pongo abelii (Sumatran orangutan). Its description in RNAcentral is "sense intronic". Lineage: Eukaryota; Metazoa; Chordata; Mammalia; Primates; Hominidae. The record is from RNAcentral.